Molecule: ribosomal RNA, 2186 nt
Filed under: human gut metagenome
Description: bacterial LSU rRNA
Rfam family: Bacterial large subunit ribosomal RNA
Source: RNAcentral
AACAUCUAAGUACCCCGAGGAAAAGAAAUCAACCGAGAUUCCCCCAGUAGCGGCGAGCGAACGGGGAGCAGCCCAGAGCCUGAAUCAGUGUGUGUGUUAGUGGAAGCGUCUGGAAAGGCGCGCGAUACAGGGUGACAGCCCCGUACACAAAAAUGCACAUGCUGUGAGCUCGAUGAGUAGGGCGGGACACGUGGUAUCCUGUCUGAAUAUGGGGGGACCAUCCUCCAAGGCUAAAUACUCCUGACUGACCGAUAGUGAACCAGUACCGUGAGGGAAAGGCGAAAAGAACCCCGGCGAGGGGAGUGAAAAAGAACCUGAAACCGUGUACGUACAAGCAGUGGGAGCACGCUUAGGCGUGUGACUGCGUACCUUUUGUAUAAUGGGUCAGCGACUUAUAUUCUGUAGCAAGGUUAACCGAAUAGGGGAGCCGAAGGGAAACCGAGUCUUAACUGGGCGUUAAGUUGCAGGGUAUAGACCCGAAACCCGGUGAUCUAGCCAUGGGCAGGUUGAAGGUUGGGUAACACUAACUGGAGGACCGAACCGACUAAUGUUGAAAAAUUAGCGGAUGACUUGUGGCUGGGGGUGAAAGGCCAAUCAAACCGGGAGAUAGCUGGUUCUCCCCGAAAGCUAUUUAGGUAGCGCCUCGUGAACUCAUCUCCGGGGGUAGAGCACUGUUUCGGCAAGGGGGUCAUCCCGACUUACCAACCCGAUGCAAACUGCGAAUACCGGAGAAUGUUAUCACGGGAGACACACGGCGGGUGCUAACGUCCGUCGUGAAGAGGGAAACAACCCAGACCGCCAGCUAAGGUCCCAAAGUCAUGGUUAAGUGGGAAACGAUGUGGGAAGGCCCAGACAGCCAGGAUGUUGGCUUAGAAGCAGCCAUCAUUUAAAGAAAGCGUAAUAGCUCACUGGUCGAGUCGGCCUGCGCGGAAGAUGUAACGGGGCUAAACCAUGCACCGAAGCUGCGGCAGCGACGCUGAUGCGUUGUUGGGUAGGGGAGCGUUCUGUAAGCCUGCGAAGGUGUACUGUGAGGUAUGCUGGAGGUAUCAGAAGUGCGAAUGCUGACAUAAGUAACGAUAAAGCGGGUGAAAAGCCCGCUCGCCGGAAGACCAAGGGUUCCUGUCCAACGUUAAUCGGGGCAGGGUGAGUCGACCCCUAAGGCGAGGCCGAAAGGCGUAGUCGAUGGGAAACAGGUUAAUAUUCCUGUACUUGGUGUUACUGCGAAGGGGGGACGGAGAAGGCUAUGUUGGCCGGGCGACGGUUGUCCCGGUUUAAGCGUGUAGGCUGGUUUUCCAGGCAAAUCCGGAAAAUCAAGGCUGAGGCGUGAUGACGAGGCACUACGGUGCUGAAGCAACAAAUGCCCUGCUUCCAGGAAAAGCCUCUAAGCAUCAGGUAACAUCAAAUCGUACCCCAAACCGACACAGGUGGUCAGGUAGAGAAUACCAAGGCGCUUGAGAGAACUCGUGGUGAAGGAACUAGGCAAAAUGGUGCCGUAACUUCGGGAGAAGGCACGCUGAUAUGUAGGUGAAGCGACUUGCUCGUGGAGCUGAAAUCAGUCGAAGAUACCAGCUGGCUGCAACUGUUUAUUAAAAACACAGCACUGUGCAAACACGAAAGUGGACGUAUACGGUGUGACGCCUGCCCGGUGCCGGAAGGUUAAUUGAUGGGGUUAGCGCAAGCGAAGCUCUUGAUCGAAGCCCCGGUAAACGGCGGCCGUAACUAUAACGGUCCUAAGGUAGCGAAAUUCCUUGUCGGGUAAGUUCCGACCUGCACGAAUGGCGUAAUGAUGGCCAGGCUGUCUCCACCCGAGACUCAGUGAAAUUGAACUCGCUGUGAAGAUGCAGUGUACCCGCGGCAAGACGGAAAGACCCCGUGAACCUUUACUAUAGCUUGACACUGAACAUUGAGCCUUGAUGUGUAGGAUAGGUGGGAGGCUUUGAAGUGUGGACGCCAGUCUGCAUGGAGCCGACCUUGAAAUACCACCCUUUAAUGUUUGAUGUUCUAACGUUGACCCGUAAUCCGGGUUGCGGACAGUGUCUGGUGGGUAGUUUGACUGGGGCGGUCUCCUCCUAAAGAGUAACGGAGGAGCACGAAGGUUGGCUAAUCCUGGUCGGACAUCAGGAGGUUAGUGCAAUGGCAUAAGCCAGCUUGACUGCGAGCGUGACGGCGCGAGCAGGUGCGAAAGC